AUAACAUUUAUACUUUAUAAAUUAUGAAAGUUACUGCCACCUUUGAGUGAAAAAAUCAUGUUCAAUGUUCAUCCUCCUAUGUAGAAUCUCCCUAUUUUUCAUAUCCUCAGUAUUGGUUUUGCAAUUUUCCUCUUUUUAACAAACCUGGCUUUCCAUCCCUUUAUUCCCUUCACCAUUUGUCCAUCCUUCGAGUUAGGUUUGGUAGUUGGGACAGAUGGUCCAAAGCGAAU
Molecule: non-coding RNA, 230 nt
Organism: Pelobates cultripes (western spadefoot toad)
Lineage: Eukaryota; Metazoa; Chordata; Amphibia; Anura; Pelobatidae
Source: the annotation of a GenBank genome assembly